GAAAUGCGAUACGUAAUGCGAAUUGCAGAAUUCAGUGAAUCAUCAAAUCUUUGAACGCAACUUGCGCUCUCCGGAUAUUCCUGGGAGCACACUUCUUUGAGUAUCGGUUCUAUCUCAGCUCGACAGCGUGCUUGCAUGCGUAGUCGGAAAUUGAGCGUCAACAGCUUUCGAGCUUGGUGUCGCUUGAAGUACAUGUGCUUCUAUGUUCUCUAUUCGUUUCAAGUCUUAGCUUCAUUACCGCUUGCACUUGAUUCGACGUGGAUAAUUUCGCUUUAUGCGAAUCUUCCAAUACGUUGUAUCAGGGAGGCAAUUUAGCUUUUUGAAAUGUGAUUUUGAAUGGCACAAACCCGUUCGAAAGAACAAACUUUCUGAAUUUAGAUCUCAAAUGAAGUGAGACAAC
This 400-nucleotide unclassified non-coding RNA is filed under the name uncultured fungus. RNAcentral describes it as "sequence contains ITS1". The stretch from base 1 to 106 matches the Rfam family "5.8S ribosomal RNA", at positions 50 to 154 of the family's 154-position model. The record is from RNAcentral. Lineage: Eukaryota; Fungi.